This is a non-coding RNA of Schistosoma haematobium, 45 nucleotides long. NCBI's taxonomy places the organism in Eukaryota, Metazoa, Platyhelminthes, Trematoda, Strigeidida, Schistosomatidae. The record is from Rfam.
AUCCGGCCGAUGAGUCCCAAAUACGACGAAACGCGCAUCCCAGAU